AACAACUGAAAGGAGGUGACCCAGUGUCUCAUUGUCUUCAUCCGCAGGUGGAAACCGUGACCUGGACCUCCGCUUACGAGGCUUGCGCGUAAGCGUAUUGGGGUUGCGGGACCGCUGAGCGGUCCGACAAUGGAAGGGCCGGCCCCGACAACGGGCCGGCC
This 161-nucleotide small RNA is filed under the name uncultured Phenylobacterium sp. RNAcentral describes it as "caulobacter sRNA CC2171". It matches the Rfam family "caulobacter sRNA CC2171". The record is from RNAcentral. Lineage: Bacteria; Pseudomonadati; Pseudomonadota; Alphaproteobacteria; Caulobacterales; Caulobacteraceae.